Molecule: long non-coding RNA, 904 nt
Organism: Amphiprion ocellaris (clown anemonefish)
Lineage: Eukaryota; Metazoa; Chordata; Actinopteri; Pomacentridae
Source: Ensembl
GUAUAUCUAUGGUCGGCACGUCUGGUAGCAUCUCUGGCUGCUGUUGACCUUGUUUUUGGAGUAAAACACGGUGGAAGCUGAAUUAGUGAGGAUGACUCCUGCUCCUGUCAUCUCUAAACUCCUCACACAUCUUUACCUGCACAUGAGGAAAAUCACUCCUGUAGAAUGCAGUGGUUCAUCAGAACCUCUGGGGAUGUCCUGUGGAUUCUGUGGAUCCUGUGGGUUGCAGGGUGGGUCCUACCUAGACCAGGCUGAUCCUGGACCAUCCCACAGAUGCUCAAUCAGAUCUGGAUGUGGGGAGUGUGGAACCCAGAUGUUCAGAGGGAGAUGAUGCCACAUCUGGUCCAGCUGAUGGAAGGUCUUGAAGUUCUCUGACUGGCCUCGACUGAAGAUGGUCGUCUCACUGGAUUUAAGGUUCAGAUGCUCAGUAACAAACUCCACCAAUGAGCCAACAGGGAAGCUUUAGGUUUAUUAAAUGUUGCUAUGAAGGUUUUGCUGUUUUUCUUUGUGAAUGCAAUGUGUUCCAACUGAAACUUGAAUUAGAACUUAGAAGUAAAUCCUUCCAUCUGAAAGGAUUUAGUUGCAUUAAUAACCUCAUAACAUUCUAGUUUUUAUUCCAGUCUUGGUUGGAAAUAGAAUCUCUGUAUUGAUUCAGGUAAAAACUGAACUUCACAGCAUGUUGGAGCAAAACAACCAGAUGAAAACUGUGAUGGUGUUGGAUUGUCAGACCGUAAUGUUCAGCUCAAAGCAGCUUUUCUAUCUCAGUUCAUUCUGACAUUCAGCUAUGAAUCAACACAGCAGAUGGUGAUCCAUGCUGUGGAAGUCUCACAUCUCCUGAUUUAAUGGAGCUGCUUUGUACUUUUUACACAGUUUAUUCACCAACACUUUAUUUAAUAAAAGUCCC